Taeniopygia guttata (zebra finch) is the source of this 782-nucleotide non-coding RNA. Lineage: Eukaryota; Metazoa; Chordata; Aves; Passeriformes; Estrildidae. The record is from RefSeq and is a predicted model, not a curated record.
GGAUCGCACAAAUAUCAGAUGGAUCCCAUCAAUAUAAUGUGGGUCCCACAAAUACCAUGUGAAUCACACAAAUAUCAUAUGGAUCCCACAAAUAUCAGAUGGAUCCCGUCAAUAUAAUGUGGGUCCCAUAAAUAUCAUGUGGAUCCCAAAUAUAUCAUGUGCAUCCCAUAAAUAUCAUGUGGAUCCCAUAAAUAUCAGGUGGAUCCCACAAAUACCAUGCGCAUCCCAUAAAUACCAUGUGGAUCAGAUGUUAAUUUUCAUCAUUCCCAUAAUUAUCAUUUCCAUAAUUCGGGUGGGGGGAAGCUGACAAUAACCACAGAGUAAAAUACACAGAAAAAAAAAGUGAAUUUUCCAGGUUUUUCAGCUCCCGUCGCUUCUCCGCCCACGGGAGUCGGGAGAAGGGGAGAGGCCGGAGCGGGAGCGGCAUCUCCAACCGGCUCCGCUUCAAACCGAUUCGAAUUUUCAGCAGCAAAGCGGUUCUUUGCCUUCUGAACCCGAAUUUUUAGGGAGGCUGGGAGCGCCGUUUGCUCCGUGCAGCCCUGGCAAGAUCGAGUUCUUGGUGAUGCUCCCCCUUCAAAUCCCCGUAGCGGAAUGAAAUCAAGCGGAAUUUUUGCCUUACCUGUUUCUUCGGAGGGUUUUUCUUACAAUUCUUUUUAUUUACGCGCGUCCUUGAAGCUCUGCCCGACCUCCCUCGCUGGGGAUGGAGACGGCGAGCGUGGGAAGAGCGGCGAGAUUUAGGGAUUCGGGGAAUAAAGGGUGAAAUCCGCUCCCAGGAACCACAA